CCUACGGGUGGCAGCAGUAGGGAAUAUUGCUCAAUGGGGGAAACCCUGAAGCAGCAACGCCGCGUGGAGGAUGAAGGUUUUCUGAUUGUAAACUCGUUUUUUUAGAGAAGAUAAUUACGGUAUCUAACGAAUAAGCACCGUCUAACUCCGUGCCAGCAGCCGCGGUAAUACGGAGGGUGCAAGCGUUACUCGGAAUCACUGGGCGUAAAGAGCGCGUAGGCGGGAUAGCAAGUCAGAUGUGAAAUCCUAUGGCUUAACCAUAGAACUGCAUUGGAAACUGUUAUGCUAGAGUAUGGGGGAGGUAGGUGGAAUUCGUGGUGUAGGGGUAAAAUGCGUAGAGAUCAAGAAGAAUACUCAUUGCGAAGGCGACCUGCGAGAACAUAACUGACGCUGAUGCGCGAAGGCGUGGGGAGCGAACAGGAUUAGAUACCCGGGUAGUC
RNAcentral lists this ribosomal RNA (440 nucleotides) under uncultured bacterium. RNAcentral describes it as "partial 16S ribosomal RNA". It matches the Rfam family "Bacterial small subunit ribosomal RNA", at positions 338 to 795 of the family's 1533-position model. The record is from RNAcentral.